CGCGCGUAGCUGCUGCCCGGACUCCUCCCGCCUGCUCUCUGUCUCCGUCGCAUGGGACCGCCGCCCCGGGGAUGUCUCCGGCACGGGCUCCGCGGAGAUCCCGGUCCACCUCGCCACCGAAUCGCGCGGCCGGCACAAGGUCAUGGCCUUCGUUGGGAUCUUGACCGGGUUCAGCAGUCCUCAAACUUCAUGGCCGCCUUGUUCACUAGUUGAGGGGUCGCUUGAAAUAACUGUCAGCUUGCUCCUGCAGCGGAGUACAUGAGCUUGCCGGCGAGCCAGUACUCGGUGCUAGACGCGGAGCGCAUCGAGCGCGCCGACGACUCCACCUUCCGAUGCUACGUAUACCGCUUCCGCUUCUUCGCACUCGAGGUCUGCCCUGUCCUCCUUGUCCGCGUCGACGAGGAACCCAACGGCUGCUGCAUUCGCCUCCUCUCCUGUAAGGAUACAAUUGACAUGAUUUGCUGUGGGAUGCAGCUUCCAUGGUGAAUAGGGUUUUCUGCAGCAGCACUAAACAAGAUUCAGCUAUUCAACAGCUUACAUCAGAUACUACAAUAGAGUGUCGCUGCAGGUUUGCAUCAUUAUGAACUAUUGAAAAUUGGCAAACUUUAUGCUGGCAAGGAAACCACCAUCCAUUUUUCUCCUUUCUAUCCCAUGCAGUGAAACAGGUACAAGUUUCCUCUUAACUUUUAGUUCUGCCCCUAUCAGUUUUGUUAAUCGAAGUAAUGUUGUAUAGCUAACCAUGGCUAGCUUUUUCAAUAAAUUGUAAAUGAAUUUGAUGGUGGACGAUGUAAAAUUCCUGAUGGACAGAAGCAAAACUCUAUAAAUACACCGCCAUACCUAAAUUUUCGGUCGUCCUCCGCCACUGGC
Molecule: long non-coding RNA, 867 nt
Organism: Panicum virgatum (switchgrass)
Lineage: Eukaryota; Viridiplantae; Streptophyta; Magnoliopsida; Poales; Poaceae
Exons: 3
Source: RefSeq, a predicted model, not a curated record